GUUGUCGUACGGUUGGUUUUCCUAAGCAUGGCGCGUUGACGACAAACUCAUAAUCCUUUGGUUGAAGGUUCGAAUCCUUCUGGGCCCACCA
Molecule: transfer RNA, 91 nt
Filed under: Xanthomonas sp. CFBP 8152
Lineage: Bacteria; Pseudomonadati; Pseudomonadota; Gammaproteobacteria; Lysobacterales; Lysobacteraceae
Description: tRNA-Met
Source: RNAcentral